GACGAACGCUGGCGGCGUGCUUAACACAUGCAAGUCGAACGGAAAGGUCCGGCUUUUGUGGGGUGCACGAGUGGCGAACGGGUGAGUAACACGUGAGUAACCUGCCCUUGACUGAGGGAGAACUACAGGAAACAGGGGCUAAUACCGGAGAGGAGCUCUUGCUGCACGGGGGUGGUUGGAAAGUGGCGGUGGUUGGGGAUGGUCUCGCGGCUUAUCAGCUUGGUGGUGGGGUUGGGGCGUACCACGGCUUUGACGGGUCGCCGGCCUGGGAGGGUGACCGGGCACAUUGGGCCUGGGGUAGGCCCCAGACUGCAACGGGCGGCAGCGGUGGGAAAUCUUGCGCAAUAGGCCGAGGCCUGAUGCAGCGGCGCCGCGUGCGGAAUGACUGCCUUCGGGGUGUAAACCGCUUUCGCCUGUGACGUAGCGUGAGUGACGGUAACGGAUCAGAAAGCACCGGCUAACUACGUG
This 468-nucleotide ribosomal RNA is filed under the name uncultured bacterium. RNAcentral describes it as "partial 16S ribosomal RNA". It matches the Rfam family "Bacterial small subunit ribosomal RNA", at positions 28 to 507 of the family's 1533-position model. The record is from RNAcentral.